AAGACCUUGCGCUUUUGGAGCGGCCGAUGCCUGAUUAGCUUGUUGGUAAGGUAAAAGCUUACCAAGGCUUCGAUCAGUAGCUGGUCUGAGAGGACGGCCAGCCACACUGGGACUGAGACACGGCCCAGACUCCUACGGGAGGCAGCAGUGGGGAAUUUUGGACAAUGGGGGCAACCCUGAUCCAGCCAUGCCGCGUGAGUGAAGAAGGCCUUCGGGUUGUAAAGCUCUUUCAGCCGGAACGAAACGGUUACGGUUAAUACCCGUGAUUACUGACGGUACCGGAAGAAGAAGCACCGGCUAACUACGUGCCAGCAGCCGCGGUAAUACGUAGGGUGCGAGCGUUAAUCGGAAUUACCGGGCGUAAAGCGUGCGCAGGUGGUUUUGUAAGUCAGAUGUGAAAGCCCCGGGCUCAACCUGGGAACU
RNAcentral lists this ribosomal RNA (423 nucleotides) under uncultured bacterium. Its description in RNAcentral is "bacterial SSU rRNA". It matches the Rfam family "Bacterial small subunit ribosomal RNA", at positions 207 to 622 of the family's 1533-position model. The record is from RNAcentral.